GACUGCUUCUGAUUGGACAGCAGCCUCCAGGCCAGCCCUCCAUCUUUGAGCUGGGCUCAAGCCAGUCUUGUCUUGAAUUUGCCUGAGGAGUGACACUGCCUAACUUUAAAGGAGUGGUGAGAAUGACCAACUUUCAAGAAAUCAUCACUGGAUACAGGACAAACUUCCAGAAGCAACGAUUAAUGGCAAUGAAGGCCACACAAUUUGUGAAGGAUUAUAUCUACUGGGCUUUUUUCCAAUACCGGCUGCUCACCUGCUGCUUUGACCUGGAGCCUUGGGAACGAGUAUUGGUGCAUUCUGGCGUUGUCAUUAUUUUUACUAUGUCAGUGUUCACGGCUUAUGUAUUCAUUCCAAUCCAUUUGCGUCUGGUCUUUUGGUACUUUCUACAGCUAUUGGUCAAGUAGAGGACAGUUAUCUGUUUUUUGACAAGAUUGAGCCUGAGUUUCUUGAUGCACUUUUGUUAUGUUUGUGUAAAUAGGAUAAUUAAAAACAUGUGCAUGUUUCUUUCUCCA
RNA transcript from Hemicordylus capensis (graceful crag lizard), 512 nucleotides. It is a transcript of the gene named serine palmitoyltransferase small subunit B-like, with no coding region annotated. The transcript is spliced from 3 exons. The record is from RefSeq and is a predicted model, not a curated record. Lineage: Eukaryota; Metazoa; Chordata; Lepidosauria; Squamata; Cordylidae.